CAGUCGCCACGGUAAUACGUAGGUCCCGAGCGUUGUCCGGAUUUAUUGGGCGUAAAGGGCGCGUAGGCGGACUGAUAAGUCAGGGGUGAAAUCCCAAGGCUCAACCUUGGGACUGCCUUUGAUACUGUUUGUCUUGAGUUCGAGAGAGGUAAGUGGAACUGCGAGUGUAGAGGUGAAAUUCGUAGAUAUUCGCAAGAACACCAGUGGCGAAGGCGGCUUACUGGCUCGAAACUGACGCUGAGGCGCGAAAGCGUGGGGAGCAAACAGGAUUAGAUACCCCAGUAGUCCCUGUCUCUUAUAC
RNAcentral lists this ribosomal RNA (301 nucleotides) under uncultured bacterium. RNAcentral describes it as "partial 16S ribosomal RNA". It matches the Rfam family "Bacterial small subunit ribosomal RNA", at positions 509 to 807 of the family's 1533-position model. The record is from RNAcentral.